Molecule: ribosomal RNA, 424 nt
Filed under: uncultured prokaryote
Description: bacterial SSU rRNA
Rfam family: Bacterial small subunit ribosomal RNA
Source: RNAcentral
UGGGGAAUAUUGGACAAUGCGGGAAACCGUGAUCCAGCAAUGCCGCGUGAGUGAUGAAGGCCUUAGGGUUGUAAAGCUCUUUUACCAGGGAUGAUAAUGACAGUGCCUGGAGAAUAAGCUCCGGCUAACUCCGUGCCAGCAGCCGCGGUAAUACGAAAGGGGCUAGCGUUGUUCGGAAUUACUGGGCGUAAAGCGCGCGUAGGCGGCAUGCCAAGUUGGGGGUGAAAUCCCUGGGCUCAACCCAGGAACUGCCUCCAAAACUGGCAAGCUAGAGGUUGUGAGAGGAUAGUGGAAUUCCGAGUGUAGAGGUGAAAUUCGUAGAUAUUCGGAAGAACACCAGUGGCGAAGGCGACUGUCUGGCACAUUUCUGACGCUGAGGUGCGAAAGCGUGGGGAGCAAACAGGAUUAGAUACCCCUGUAGUCC